CACUAGGUAGUUGGGAAAUAUUCUGCAAAUGCCAAAUAAGGAUAUUUAAUACGUCACUUUCAGGGAGCCAAUCAGAUAUGCAGAUACUUAUGCAUAAUGGUGAAGCUGUAAGCAAGAUGGCGACUGUCCUGCAUCAGAUACUAGGUAUUUUGUGGCAAAGGCAAAGCGUACAUGCAGUUGUUAGAUCCUUACUUUAGAGAAUAUUUAGUCCACAAGACUAACGAGAGAAAAAAAUGGGGUCAUUCCUGGUAGGCCAUCUCUACCAGUAUCGGCCCGAUUGGGGGGUUUGGGGCAUGCUCCCCCAAGAUUUUUUUUUCAAAAUAAGAUGAAUCUCUUGCUAUUUGAUCACCACUACAGCACACAAAUGUUCAUUUGAGUUUUGAAAACAUAUAUUAGUUUUUUCCCCGAUUGAUUGAUUGAUUGUUAUUUGCUUUACGCCGCAUUAGCACAAAAAGGCUAUAUCGCGGCGAUUUUUUCCCCCCGAUAAAGGUUAAUUUUCAAUAAAUUAAGGUUCAUGUACUGUGGACCCUUUGGCUGAAAUUGCCGUAUUUUUCACCUCAAAAUUUACUUGAGUCUCGAGUUCAGACAGAUCUGAUAGAACCUUUAUUUCAGUUCCUCAAUCUUAAGGCCUGUUAGCAUGAAAUGUCUCAAUGUGUAGUUUUUCUCAACAUUUUUUUCUCUCCAUGUUCUCUGUGGUUUAAAUUAGUAUGCGCUGGUUAAGAUUGUCCUGAUUGAGGAACAGCAGUAUAACAGCAGUAUUAAAUCUGCCUGUUCUGUGAAUGUAAUGUGCCACUGUUAGUAGUUUGGCUUUUGUCCUUUCUGUGUUCUCGCUGUUCAGUCUCGUUAGAAAUAGAAGAUUGAGGUUUCUUACCCUGACCUCUUUGAAUAUUUGGUGUAACAUAUAUUCAUGUUUGUUCUCAUAGCAGGGACACACCAGAGGAAAUGAUGAGGCGUUUUAGAAGCUUCACAGUUGCAUGACUCUAUGGCGUUGGUUUGGCCUACUCGGUUCUUGUAGUAGUUGAGUUCUGUAUAGCCAGUUCUUAGUUGGGUGAAUAUUCUGAAAUGUCUUUUAGUUGGGAAAUCAUACAUAAUUGAGUGUUUCGAAGUUAACAUAAGCAACACCAUGGGUGCCAUGGACCUAUUGGACUGUCAUUAACAUGCCAUGGUCUUUUUUAUGCGAAUUACACACAUGAGACCAUGGAUCUUUAUCUCUGUUAGAAACACAUAGAGGACUAUUUUUACCACAAAUUAGACUCUUAUAUAGACAAGAUGUGGUAUGAAUGCCAAUGAGACAGCUACAUUGUAGUAGCAUGCCAUGGUCUCUUUUAUGCAUAUUAAUUAAACAUCAUACCAUAGGUAUAUAUUAUAUAUCUUUUUUUAUAACACAUUAUGGACUUUUAAAUCACCCUGAAACAUGGAUCAUAAAAAAAAGAAGAUGUGCAAUGAUUGCCAAUGAGACAACUAUCCACAAAAGACCAAAAUGACAGAUAUUAACAACUAUAGGUCACCGUACAGCCUUCAACAAUGAGCAAAGCCCAUACCGCAUAGUGAGCUAUAAAAGGCCCUGAUUAGACACUGUAAAACAAUUUAAACGAGAAAACUAACGGCCUUAUUUAUGUAAAAAAAAUGAAGAAAACAAAUAUUGAAAAUAAACAAACGAUAUCACUGAAUUACAGGCUCCUGACUUGGGACAGGCAAAUACAUAAAUAAUGUGCCGGGGUUAAACAUGUUAGCGGGAUCCCAACCCUCCCCCUUACCUGGGACAGCGGUAUAACAGUACAACAUAAGAAUGAAUUAUAAAAAUCAGUUGAAAAAGGCUUAACUCAGGCCUAAAAUAAAAUUUCAUUUGUUUGGCAUUGCCGCCCGACCCACUGAAAAACUUGCCGCCCGAAUAAUUUUAUUGGUGUUUCAAAAUUUGUAUUUUUUUUGUAUUAAAAAAAUCGGAAAACCGCCGGAAUUUUGAUCAUAUCCGCGGAGUUUGUUUCCGGGCUUUACUUAUUUCAAAUCAUGAUCUUUAAAGUGCUUGUUGUACACUGUAUUCAGAGCAAGCGUUUGAAUGACAUAGAUUCGAUAAAAGUCUGCCAAAAAUGUCAAAAAGACAGGCAGUGGAUAGCAUCCACUUAUGCUCUAGUCAAGGGAGAGGAACAUUUUAUUAAAAAUAAGAUGUUCACCUAUUCUUUAGAUGGAACAUGGGUUGAUGUUCUGAAAGGCCUUGUAGAGAACUCAAAUGUCGUCUUUGGUAAAGCAGACAGUCACGAGUGACACUGUAAUUUGUUGGUGUCUGCUUUGCAUCCUCACAUCAUGAGAUAGAAGCUUUUCACCCAGACAUGACAGAACAAACAUCUGUGGCUUUAACCUCUGAAAGAUCUCUUAAAUAUGUGAAAUCUAUCAUUGACAAAUUUUCCUUGAACCAGAUAACAAAGCAUGUUGCCAUGUAAAUUCCAAAACAAUGUAUUCUUUGACCUAUAAUUGUUUACUUUUACAAGUUGUGACUUGGAUGGAGAGUUGUCUCGUUGACACUCAUACCACAUCUUCUUAUAUCUAUUCAAGAUGAUGAUGCAUUGGCUUGAUGGCUGAAAGGUGUACCUGCAUGAAAGCACCAAAGCUAAAAGACCAAUAUGGUCCCAGAUUUACAGGUUUAUAGUAGUUUUGUACCAGUAGAGGUUAGCCUGGUACAAAACAUACAUAUUUCAAAGACUAGCCUCUUUUGUGUGUCAAGAAUUUAUGAACCCAACUCCUCUCUUUCUUCUUAUUAACAUGAAUAAGAUAAUUCUUAAAACAGAAAAGAUAUCUGACGGCAACAUAUUUAUAAACAUAUCUACUGGUAGUGUUCCAUUGUUUUAAGCAAACCAAGGGCUCAUGAAUUUAACUGUAUUUAUGUCAUGCAUGUCCAGAACCCUGUCAAUCAAACAAUCAUAACAACCUUAAAAUUUAUUUUAAAUUAUCUGUAAAAAUUGUCUGUCCUACAGCAUAUUUAUAUUUUGAAAUUAUCAUACUUUUUACUGCGGUUAUUACAAAUGCAGUAUAAAACACCCUGCCAGGGUGAGGCAUUCAUGACUGUUCUUGUGCCAACCUUCUAAAUUUGUAAUAUUUUGCUAUUCUCAAAGCUGAUCAGGGGCUGUAGUGGCUUUGACCAUUUGGUAGUUCCGCAAAAUUUGCAUGUAUCAAUGCUAGUCUUAUCACCUCUAGGGAUAAGUACAUGUAUGCAUUCACAAAAUUAAGGUUAGAUUGUCAUGACAUUUAUAAUAAGGUUCCUCUGUGCACUACACUUUCGUCCACCAAUAAAACUGACUGUAAUGAACUUGCCCAUAUGGUGUAGAAAGUUACUUUUAAUCCCAUCAAACAAGCAAACAAUCAAAGCUUUAAAUCAUCUAUUUGUACAAGGAACUGUAGUGGUCGAACUGAUUAAAAUAUGAUAAGUUUACCAAACUGAAGGCAAUUUCAAGAUGUGACAUUAAGGCUCUAUUCAAUGGACAGUCCCACAAUUGAGAUUCAAUUUUCAUGUCUAACAUGUUACAUGGUUAAUGUCAGUUCCCUACCACAGAUAUGUUUCUGCUGGGUACUUUGGUUUACUCCUCCAAAAAAACUGAAUGUUUGACAUGAAAUUAUCCAUGUGUUGUAGAAUGUGACAUUAACCCCUAUCAAAGAAACCAUAAGUUUGUACACACAACAAUGCUGCACUGCUUUGUGCUGUGAUCUAGAGUCAUCAUGGUUGUGAUAUAUAAAGUUUUUAAAUGUAAAAAAAAAAAAAAAAUCCCUACCUACCUACCCACCUGCUGAUGGUGUGAGUCGGCAAUGCCAAACAAACAAUUUUUUAAGGGUGGCCUCAUCAGAUGGACAAAAAUACAAAUGGAUGUGGCCCGGUACUUAUACAAUGAACAUCCUGACACAAAAAAAACACAAUGAAUAGAUCUGAGAGUACUCGUACUGUUAGGAACAUGUCAUGGUCUCAUUUGCGCAUAUUUAGCAUUAGACUAUGGACCUAUACAUAUGUUUUCAAUACAUCAUGUAUUUUAUACUACAAUAACACAUAAAACAAUUGACCAGUUAAAAGUGUAUCAUGCCACGGUCUCUUCUAUACUUAUUACACAUGAGACCAUGGACCUAUAUAUAUAUGUUGUCAAUACAUCAUGGACUCCUAUACAUUUUACCACAAUAACACAUAAAACCAGGGACCAAUUAAAAGUCCUGUAUUGUGCCAAGGUGUUUUUUUUUACACAUUACAAAUGAGACUAUCGACCCUCAACACACAGAGAAACAAAAGACCAUGGACCGAUUAGACCCUAACAUGCCAUGGUCUCUUUUAUACACUUGACACAUACCACCAUGGACCUAUGCAUAUGUUAUCAACACAUCAUGAACUCUUAUACCACAAUAAAAUAGAAGACCAUGGAACAAUUAGACUGUCAGUAACAUACCAUGGUCUCUUUUAUGAAUUAUACACAUUGAACCAUAGACAUGAUAGACCUAUACAUAUGUUAUUCACACAUCAUGGACUCUUAUACCACAAUGAUACAUAUAAAAACCAUGCACCAAUGGGAUUGUAACAUGAUGUGUCCUUCUAAUGCAUAUUUCACAUGAGACCAUGGACCUACAUUGGAUAUCGGUUAAAAUAAAAUUGAGAAUGGAAAUGGGGAAUGUGUCAAAGAGACAACAACCCAACCAAAUAAAAAGACAAAAGCUUGUCAUGGUCUCUUUUUUACAUAUCUCAAGUGAUACCAUGGACUUAUAGAUCUGUUAGUAACACAUUAUGGAAUCUUAUAACACAAUGAAACAGAAGACAAUGGACCAAUAAGACUGCCAUUGUUUAUUUUAUGAAAUUACACAUUGCACCAUGGACCUAUGUAUCUCUGACAUUACAUCAUGUACUUUUAUACCUGUAUUAAACCGAAGCGAGGGACCAAUUAAGACUUACAGUAGCAUACUAUGAUCUCUUUUAUAAAUAUUACACAUGAGACCAUGGACCUACAUGUAUAUACAUAUGCUUAUUUGACAAAUUUAGACAUUUGUUCAAGUUUUAUCGUAAUUUUUAUUUUUGUAAUGCAUUAGAAUCGGAAUAACAGUACUGUAGUUGAAGAGUUGCCACCGUCAAUUUUGAUUUGACGGUCUCAAAUCUCGGUUUUACUGUCUCCGCUACGCGUCGCCAGUAAAACUGCAUUUGCGACCGUCAAAUCUACAAUUGACGGUGGCAACUCUUCAACUACAGUACUGUUAUUCCUUAAUUACCCUGUCAGAAACAUGCCAUGGUCUCUUUUAUACCUGUUACACAUGAGACCAUAGACCUUAACAUUUGUUAUUAACAUCGAGGAACUGUAUACCACAAUGAAAACAUAAGACCAUGGACCAAUUAGACUUUUAAACAUGCCAUGGUCUCUUUUAUACCUGUUACACAUGAUACCAUGGACCUAUAUAUCUGUCAGAAGCACAUCAUUGACUUUUAAACCACAAAGAAACAUAAGAUUAUGGACUAAAAAGACUAAACGACAUGCCAUUGUCUCAUUUAUACUUAUUACACAUGAGACCAUGGACCUAAGCAUAUCAUGGAUUUUUAAACCACAAAGAAACAUUAAACCAUUCAUGAGCCAAAUAGACUGAAUAAAAAGCAAUGAUCUCAUUAAUACAUAUUACACAUGAGACCAUGGAUAAUCUGUAAGUAACACUUCAUAGACUCUAUAAAUAACACAAUGUAUUAACACAGCAUGGACCCUUAUACCACAAUGAAAUAGAAAACUAUGGACAUCAAUUAGACUGUCAGAAACAUACCAUGGUCUCUUUUAUACAUAUUCCACAAUGAAAUAGAAGACCAUGGACCAAUAACAAUAACUGUAACAAGAAGUGGUAUAUGUUAUACAGAUUAUACAUGUGGAUAUCAUGACUAUAGACCUAUGUAUCUGUUUUCAACGCAUCGUGAACUCUUUCACUAUAAUGAAAAGGUCGACUGCAGGAUACAAGUUUUGCUUCCAGUUACUGAUAUAAAACACCUAUACUUUAAGUAUCUGACAUAUUUUUUUAUAAAUGUAAAAAGUGUUAUGAUAUUUUUUUCGAAUAUUAUAUAUAUAUUUUCCCUUGGUAUCACACUUAUAAGUAUUAUACUUUUAGGUGGAGAAUUUCAAUGAUAAACAUCCAGGAUCUGCUACUAUUUGUAUGGCUGUUGUUCAUAAUGUCAAUGUAUCCGCUGGUAUGUAUCUGUAAUCAUAUAUUUGAGACUUUUUUAAUUGAGAAAUUUUUUGGUCAUAUAUUGGUAUGACGUUGGCGUUGUUGUCGUCGUCUGAAGACAUUUGGUUUUCCCACUAUAACUUUAGUAUAAGUAAAUAGAAAUUUAUGAAAUUUUAACAUAAGGUUUAUGACCAUGAAAGGAAGGUUGGGAUACUAGUAGGUUGGGAUUGAUUUUUGGAGUUUUGGUCUAAAAAAAGGUUACAAAUAAGCAUUUUUCUUUUUUUUUUGCACAAUAACUUUAGUAUAACAUGUAUAAGUAAAAAGAUUUCUAUGAAAUUUUAACACAAGGUUUAUGACCACAACAGGAAGUUUGGGAUUGAUUUUGAGAGUUUUGGUCCCGAUAGUUUAGGGAAUAGGGGCCAAAAGGGUCCAAAAUUAAACUUUGUUUGAUUUCAUCAAAUAAUGAUUUAUUGGGGUUCUUUGAUAUAUGCUGAAUAUAAGCAUGUACUAAGUUAUUUGAUUAUGGGCCCAGUUUUCAAGUUGGUCCAAAUUGGGGUCCAAAAUUUAAACUUUGUUUCAUUUCAAUUAAAAUUGAAUAUAUGGGGUUCUUCAAUAUACUGAAUCUAACCAUGUACAAUGAUGUAUUUAGAUUUUUAAUAUUUGGGCCCGGUUAUCAAAUUGGUCCACAUUGAGGUCUAACGGGUCUUGAAUUGAACAUUAUUUGAUUUUAUCAAAAAUUGAAUUCUUGGUGUUCUUUGAUAUGCUGAAUCUAACCAUGUAUUUAGAUUUUGGAUAUUGGACCAUAAUAGGUAAAUGUGCAACUUUUAAAUUUUUUAAGUUUAAGUUCUUAAACCACAUUCAUUCUGUGUCACAAACCUAUGUUGUGUCAACUAUUUAAUCACAAUCCAAAUUCAGAGCUGUAUCAAGCUUAAAUGUUUUGUCCCUACUUGCCCCAACUGUUCAGAAUUGAAUCUGAGGUCGUAUAAAUCUGCAACCUGCGGAGCAUCUGGUUUUCUUUGAUAAACUCUUAUCAUGCCAUGACUUAAACAAAUAUUAUUACAUGUAUGUAUUAUUAUAUUAAAUGGAUUUAUUAACCAUAGUCAUGUAAAAGUAAUUAAGCCUGAAAAAUAUUUAUAGAUUAUUGAUUAUUUGCAACAUCUUUAUUAAAGACGGACAAACAUCCACUAGUUAGAAAGAUAAUUGCUUAUUUAUUUUAAAGUUAAAAUAUAAUAGAUGAAAUAGACAUAUAAAUAUCGAGGCCUUCUGAAAAUAUCACAUUUAUGAUAUUUUCAGAAAGCCUGUUCUAAUUAUAAAUUCAACUUUCUUUUUUUAAAUUUUAGAUGUUUAAUAUUAAAAAGUUUCUUUGCUUUUCAAGUAAUAACUUAGAUUUUAACAGCAAAUGUAAAUAUAUUUAUAUAUGUUCUUGUAUUUUAUUCAGGUUCAGUACAGAUGAAGUCCAUAUUCACCAAAAUGAUCAUGAGACAACUACUUAGGUAACUAACAGACUUGCUGAUGAAAAUAUGAGCUAUGACAGGACAGAAGUUGGGGAGUGACUAAGAUUAGCUAAAAAUGUAAGUCAUGGAAAAAUGCUCUUGAUCAUAUAUCCUACAUGUACCUCUGUUCAAAGAAAAUUUAAAUGACAGUUAAAUGCAAACAUUGAAAUCAUAUUUUAAUUUUUUUAAUUAUUUUGAUGAAUAUACAAUUUUCUGGGAUGUGAUCUUUAAAUAAAAAUAUGUUUGUUUAAACUGAAGAAAGUAAUAACAUUUAACAGGAAACCAAUUAGUGGAGUAUCAUUUUGGUAUUCAAUACUCAGUACUACCGAGGGAUACUUUAGUAAUAUAUAUAGAUAGUUUAUUCUCAUAAAAUCAUGCAAGUACAAAAGUUACAGAGAAGUUGAAAAAUAAUAUACAUAAAAACAAAAUAUGCAUUAAAAAUGCAUAAACUUCAAAAAUUUCGGAUGAGAUAACAUAUUAAAGAAUAUAAAUAUAGACUUUUAUAGUCAAUUGAAAUGUUAAAGUUGUAUAAAGAAAUACUUCCUAUAAGUAUGGUAAAUAAAUUAUGGUUGUUAAGAAGGAGUGAGCUUACUUUUAAUACAUCUUAUAAAAUUGCAGAGGUUUCUAAGUCUCUGUUUUUUUUUUUGAAUUAAACAGUUUGUUGAAGGCAAUAAUGUUAUGUCUUGGUACUAGUUCAUUUGGGAUAAAUCUUCUUCUUUCAUCUUGUAAAGCGGAGCAAACAAAAAUAUAGUGGUAUUCGUCUCCGAUAUCACUUUUCGAAUACAUUGAACAUUUUCUAUCGCUUCUGUAAUCAAGUACUCAUUGAAAUCCUAUAUUUACGUAUGUUAUUCAAGAUGAAUAAAAAUAAAUAACAGAUGAAAUAUCCAAAUCAACAAAUCAGAACUGAGUAAAUGAAAAAAAAUAUUUUAUUUUUGUCACUUGGCUACAGUUUAUAUACAUUCUAUGAUUUUUAGGCAAAAAAUGUAUAAAGCAGAUCAACACCAGAAUGGAAUCACACCAAGAAGAACAGAGAAGAUUAAUAAAUCUAUGUUUUUUAGCCGUUUUAGUGCAAGUAUUUAUAAUGCCGCUUACAUUUUGUAUAAAAAAGCAUGAAUCAUAGUUUAGGUUCACA
Molecule: long non-coding RNA, 8781 nt
Filed under: Mytilus galloprovincialis (Mediterranean mussel)
Lineage: Eukaryota; Metazoa; Mollusca; Bivalvia; Mytilida; Mytilidae
Source: RNAcentral